AAGAAGAGCGUCGAGACCUACAAGAUCUACAUCUUCAAGGUGCUCAAGCAGGUGCACCCGGACAUCGGCAUCUCCUCCAAGGCCAUGUCCAUCAUGAACUCCUUCAUCAACGACAUCUUCGAGAAGCUCGCCGCCGAGGCCGCCAAGCUUGCCCGCUACAACAAGAAGCCCACCAUCACCUCCCGCGAGAUCCAGACCUCGGUCCGCCUCGUCCUCCCUGGGGAGCUCGCCAAGCACGCCGUCUCUGAGGGCACCAAGGCCGUCACCAAGUUCACCUCAUCUUAGAUAGGUUCCGUGUCUGGUGGUGCUAGU
RNAcentral lists this long non-coding RNA (312 nucleotides) under Setaria viridis. RNAcentral's name for it is "long non-coding RNA (SVIR_LNC005974)". The record is from RNAcentral. Lineage: Eukaryota; Viridiplantae; Streptophyta; Magnoliopsida; Poales; Poaceae.